UUGUUUACUUAAUUUGGAGGGACCUGCGAGCGAGAGAGAGAGGAGAGCGCGAGAGCGAGAGAGAGGCGAGGGCACGAUAGAGGGCGAGAGUGAGCUGUGCUAUGCGAGAAACAGAGAGAGUGCGAGAGGUGCGAGAGAGAGAGGGUUAGUAGGGUUUGCUUUUGCACAUAAAAAAUGGGAGUGGGCUUAUAACUCACUGUAGUAGAGAUUAAAUAUCAGCCGUUGGAUCUUUAUAGUGUAGGAUAUACUCCCACCCAAGGGUGUUCAGGUAGACUUUCUCCUAUCGAGCUAUGCUAUUGGGACAACCCCAUGUGGGUAGUACAUCCUACAACUUUUAGAUAUAAAGGUUGAAAUUAAUUUGAUUUAGAAAAAAGAUAAAAAGUGUUAAGUUCACUCCCCUUUUUUGUCCCUCACACUUUCUCUCUUUGUUUUUUGUCCCUCACAGUUUCCCUCUUUGUUGCUUUUGUGGCCUGAGAGCGAGAGAGAGAAAGCCCUGCAAGCGAGAGAGAGAAAGGAGAGCGCGAGCGAGAGAAAGGCGAGGGCGCGAGAGAGAGCGAGAGCGAGGCGUGCUGUGCGAGAAACAGAGAGAGAGCGAGAGACAAAGAAAGAGAGCACGAAGCCGGAUUCUACCAAGAAACUGGAUUCGACUAGCUCCCUCAUCUUUUCUCCGACUCUAUUUUCUCUCUCUUUCUCUUCUUCCAUCCUUUUCCUAUUUUUCGAUGACCUCAUGUUGUGCGGCCAUCCUAACGGUCUUUUCUAUCAUUUUCGGCUGGAAUUGUAAAGCUACGAUGCUUAGCCCUAUCCGUGCGUACGCCCCUAAACGAAACCAGCAGGGAGUAAAUAGUAUUUUUUUCCUGUAAUUUGAACGUAUUUUGUCAUUUGAGCUAAUUAAGAAGUCAUUUGAGCUAAUUAAGAAGUCAUUACUUCAUUUGAACUCAUUGUUUACAUAAUUUGGAUGGACCUGCGAGCGAGAGAGAGAGGAAAGAACGAGAGCGAGAGAGAGGCGAGGGUACGAUAGAGAGCGAGAGCGAGUUGUGCUGUGCGAGAAACAUAGAGAGUGCGAGAGGUGUGAGAAAGAGAGGGUUAGUAGGGUUUGCAUUUGCACAUAAAAAAUAGAAGUGAGCUUAUAACCCACCAUAGUAGAGAUUAAAUAUCAGCCGUUGGAUCUUUAUGGUGUAGGAUAUACUCCCACCCAUGGGUGUCCUAGUAGACUUUCUCCUAUCGAGCUAUGCUACUGGUACAACCCCAUGUGGAUUGUACAUCCGACAACUUUUAGAUCUAAAGGCUGAAAUUAAUUUGAUUUUAAAAAAAAGACAAAAAGUGUUAAGUUCACUCCCUUUUUUUGUCUCUCAUACUUUCCCUCUUUGUUUUUUGUCCCUUACACUUUCCUUCUUUAUUUUUUGUCCCUUACGCUUUCGCUCUUUGUUGCUUCUGUAGCCUGCGAGCGAGAGAAAGAGAGGAGAGCGUGAGCGAAAGAGAGGCGAGGGCGCAUGAGAGAGGGAGAGUGAGCUGUGUUGUGCGAGAAACAGAGAGAGAGGGAGAGACAGAGAAAGAGAGCACGAAGCCGGAUUCUACCAAGAAACUGGAUUUUACUAGUACCCUCCUCUUUUCCUUAUUUCUACUUUAUCUCUCCUUCUUUUCUUCCAUUAUUCUCCUAUUUUUCGGUGAAUUCAUGUCGUGCGGCCAUCCUAAUGGUCUCUUCCUCCAUUUUCAGCUGGAGUUGUAAAGCUGCGAUGCUUAGCCCUAUUCGCGCGUUCUCCCCACACAAAGCCAGAAAUGAGUAAAUUAUAAUUUUUUUCCUUUAAUUUGAACGCAUUUUCUCAUUUAAACUAAUUAAGAAGUCAUUGCUUCAUUUGAACUCAUUGUUCACUUAAUUUGGAAGGACCUGCGAGCGAGAGAGAGAGGUGGGCGUGAGAGUGAGAGACAGUCGAGGGCGCGAUAGAUAGCGAGAGCGAGCUUUGCUGUGGGAGAAACAAAGAGAGUGCGAGAGGUGCAAGAGAGAGAGGGUUAGUAGGGUUUGCUUUUGCACAUAAAAAAUGAGAGUGAGCUUAUAACCCACUGUAGUAGAGAUUAAAUAUCAGCCGUUGGAUCUUUAUGGUGUAGGAUAUACUCCCACCUAAGGGUGUUCUGGUAGACUUUCUCCUAUCGAGCUAUGCUACUGGUACAACCCCAUGUGGGUUGUACAUCCGACAACUUUUAGAUCUAAAGGCUAAAAUUAAUUUGAUUUAGAAAAAAAGAUAAAAAGUGUUAAGUUCACUCCCCUUUUUUGUCUCUAAUUGUUUCCCUUUUUGUUUUUUGUCCCUCACACGUUCCCUCUUUGUUUUUUGUCCUUCACGCUGUCGCUCUGUGAUGCUUCUGUAGCCUGCAAGCGAGAGAGAGAGAGAAAAGAGCGCAAGCGAGAGAGAUGCGAGGGGGCGAGAGAGAGCGAGAGCGAGCUGUGCUGUGCGAGAAACAGAGAGAGAGCGAAUACAGAGAAAGAGAGCACGAAGCCGGAUUCUAACAAGAAACUGGAUUCUACCAGCUCCCUCCUCUUUUCUCUGUCUCUACUGUCUCUCUCCUUCUCUUCUUCCAUCAUUCUCUCAUUUUUCGGCGAACUCAUAUCGUGCGGCCAUCCUGACGGUCUCUUCCUUCAUUUUUGGCUGGAGUUGUAAAGCUGCGAUACUUAGCCCAACCCGCGUGUACGCCCCACACGAAACCAGCCGUGAGUAAAUUGUAAUUUUUUUCUCUAAUUUGAACGCAUUUUGUCAUUUGAGCUAAUUAAAAAGUCAUUGCUUCAUUUGAACUCAUUGAUUCACUUAAUUUGGAGGGACCUGCGAGCGAGAAAGAGAGAGGAGAGCGCGAGAGCGAGAGAAAGGCGAGGGCGCGAUAGAGGGCGAGAGCGAGCUGUGCUGUGUGAGAAACAGAGAGAGUGUGAGAGGUGCGAGAGAGAGAGGGUUAGUAGGGUUUGCUUUUGCCCAUAAAAAAUGGGUGUGGGCUUAUAACCAACUUUAGCAUAGAUUAAAUAUCAGCCGUUGGAUCUUUAUGGUGUAGGAUAUACUCCCACCCAUAGGUGUCCUGGUAGACUUUCUCCUAUCGAGCUAUGCUACUGGUACAGCCCGAUUGGGUUGUACAUUCACAACUUUUAGAUCUAAAGGCUGAAAUUAAUUUGAUUUAGAAAAAAAGAUAAAAAGUGUUAAGUUCAUUCCCCUUUUUUGUCUCUCACACUUUCCCUCUUUGUUUUUUAUACCUCACACUUUCCCUCUUUGUUUUUUGUUUUUUACACUUUCGCUCUUUGUUGCUUCUGUGGCCUGCUAGUGAGAGAAAGAGAGGACAGCUCGAGCGAGAGAGAGGCGAGGGCGCAUGAGAAAGCGAGAGUGAGCUGUGCUGUGCGUGAAAUAGAGAGAGAGGGAGAGACAGAGAAAGCGAGCACGAAGCCGGAUUCUACCAAGAAACUGGAUUCUUCCAGCACCCUCAUCUUUUCCUCGUUUCUACUUUCUCUCUCCUUCUUUUCUUCCAUCAUUCUCCAAUUUUUCGACGAACUCAUGUCGUGCGGCCAUCCUAACGGUCUCUUCCUCCACUUUCGGCUGGAGUUGUAAAUCUGCGAUGCUCAGCCCUAUUCGCGCGUUCUCCCUACACGAAGCGAGAAGUGAGUAAAUUGUAAUUUUUUUCCUUUAAUUUGAAUGCAUUUUCUCAUUUAAGCUAAUUAAGAAGUCAUUGCUUCAUUUGAACUCAUUGUUCACUUAAUUUAGAAGGACCUGUGCGUGAGAGAGAGAGGAGGGCGUGAGAGCGAGAGAGAGGCGAAGGCGCGAUAGAGAGCGAGAGCGAGCUUUGCUGUCGGAGAAACAGAGAGAGUGCGAGAGGUGCGAGAGAGAGAGGGUUAGUAGGGUUUGCUUUUGCACAUAAAAAAUGGGAGUGGGCUUAUAACCCACUUUAGUAGAGAUUAAAUAUCAGCCGUUGGAUCUUUAUGGUGUAGGAUAUACUCCCACCCAUAGGUGUCCUAGUAGACUUUCUCCUAUCGAG
Molecule: long non-coding RNA, 3999 nt
Filed under: Ananas comosus (pineapple)
Lineage: Eukaryota; Viridiplantae; Streptophyta; Magnoliopsida; Poales; Bromeliaceae
Description: long non-coding RNA (ACOM_LNC029439)
Source: RNAcentral